UAGCCGUAAACGAUACUCGCUAGGUGUCGGCCACGGUGCGACCGUUGUCGGUGCCGUAGGGAAGCCGUGAAGCGAGCCACCUGGGAAGUACGGCCGCAAGGCUGAAACUUAAAGGAAUUGGCGGGGGAGCACAACAACGGGUGGAGCUUGCGGUUUAAUUGGACUCAACGCCGGGAAGCUCACCGGAUAAGACAGCGGAAUGAUUGCCGGGCUGAAGACCCUGCAUGACCAGCUGAGAGGUGGUGCAUGGCGUCAGUGACU
Molecule: ribosomal RNA, 261 nt
Filed under: uncultured archaeon
Lineage: Archaea
Description: partial 16S ribosomal RNA
Rfam family: Archaeal small subunit ribosomal RNA
Source: RNAcentral